RNAcentral lists this ribosomal RNA (301 nucleotides) under uncultured bacterium. Its description in RNAcentral is "partial 16S ribosomal RNA". It matches the Rfam family "Bacterial small subunit ribosomal RNA", at positions 509 to 809 of the family's 1533-position model. The record is from RNAcentral.
CAGCAGCCGCGGUAACACAGAGGGUGCAAGCGUUAAUCGGAAUUACUGGGCGUAAAGCGCGCGUAGGUGGUUUGUUAAGUUGGAUGUGAAAUCCCCGGGCUCAACCUGGGAACUGCAUCCAAAACUGGCAAGCUAGAGUAUGGUAGAGGGUGGUGGAAUUUCCUGUGUAGCGGUGAAAUGCGUAGAUAUAGGAAGGAACACCAGUGGCGAAGGCGACCACCUGGACUGAUACUGACACUGAGGUGCGAAAGCGUGGGGAGCAAACAGGAUUAGAUACCCGAGUAGUCCCUGUCUCUUAUAA